CCUGGCGCAGGGCGUGGCGCGGGGGGGCACGGGCCCCGGCGGUCGCGGGGUUGGCGUGGCGCGAUGCUCCCGCCGGGGCCAGCGCGCGCCACCAUGCUCCCGGCCCGCGGGACCCCCGGCGCCACGCCACCGCCCGGGUGCGGGGCCGCGCCGGCGGAAGAGCAACCGGACCUGUCCCGAAGGGCCAUUCGUAAGCGAAUUGUUCGAAACUCAGAAAGUACUCCCCAACCGCACAGUUCCAAUUCUUCCUGGGCUGCGGCCGCCCGACACCGUCGUGGGCAGUCCCGGUCCCGGAGAAGGAAACUCGGGCUUGCUCACGGCGGGUCGGGUCCGAGCCUCACCUUUCUCUGCCUCAGUUUCGCCAGCUGCGUGUGAGUAGCCCAAGGAGGGAAGCCUGAGAGGCCCUUCAUUGUUUUCUUGAGGCAGCCGAGCAAGCCUCGUGUUCUUUACCUCUGAAGUGGGGCCCUCCUGAAAGUAAUGCCCAGACGGGCCAUACCCGGUUUCUAAAGUGACCACCGAAAAAGCAGCGGGGUUAAUGUGAAUCAGCCCCUUCGAAAUAAUUCUUAAUGUCUGGGUUAUGUCGGGUUUUUAGAACAGAUAGGAUACCAAUAAUUACACCUUUUUCUUGGGUCUUGGCGUUGUAAAAGCAGCUCCAACCGUAAAUCACCGUCGUUGAGAAGACACGUGGUGUGAAACAUUCAUGAGUCCUACUUCUCCCUCACUCUGGCCUCUGAGGUUGUUCCUGGAACAACGGUAGAGAAUAGAGACCGAAUCUCUAAAAAGUAACUUCCAGAAGGUCGAGGAGCUGGGAAAGAGCACAGGGCAAGGAUUUGAAAGUUGUCUGUAUUGUCCCAACGCUCUUUUUGAGCACUGUGUUGUACCUCCUGCUUCUAAUAGUGGUUUUUCCGACCUCAGACUGAUGUAAUCAAUGAAAAGUUUUUCCUUUCCUACAACUGAACACUCAGUCUUGUUUCUGGCCAUUGGUCCAAACUCAGAAACCCACAACAUCCAGAGAAAAUGAUGUGAAUAAAUCUUAGAUUCCUGGGGAAAGGAACACAAGAACUCUUUUGUAGACAAAGGAUUCAAAAGCAAACCGAAGCAGAGGAAACUGGGCUAACUUCUACCGAGUUGAUUUGCUUCAAACUUUGCAGUUUUCCUGCAGGCUCUCAUAAGCGAUCUAUACUGCACCAGACACAAAGCCUGGCAGGUCGUAGAACUUUUACAGACGUUUGAAAGUUUCUACAUGCUUUCGCAAUACUUUUUUUUUUUUUUUCUGAAUCGAUUUGUUGGUAAGUUCCAAACACCGUGGACCCUUUAGCCCUCUGUACAUUGAUGUAGCCUUCCCGGGAAUAGAGAUACUGUUUUAUAUAACCACCAUGCUUUUCUGAGAGUCACAGAUUUAUAUGGAUAAGAAACAUGUAGCUAAUCUAGGUUCAUAUUCUAGUUUUGUCAGUUUAUCUGGUAAUUUGGAGCAUUCUUUUUCCUUACAAGACCAGUGCAGUGAUCCAGGCAAAAAGUUGAAUUUCGUUGUCCCUAAACAUCUGUGUUUUCAGGCAUUACUACUCACUGGAAUGGUAUGUCGAUAAAUAUCAAGCAUUUUCUUGUUGGUGUCAAAGCCUGGACAGGCCCUCAUUCCCACAUUUCCUGGUUCCCCGUAGACUUCAGCAGGCAGGGCACACAUAGCACACCUUUCUGAACCAAGGUUAUGGCCUUGCCAUCUUUGCUGUGGCAUUGGGCUAAAGUUAGCCCCAGUGGGGAAAUCCUGGCCAGUAUUGUGGGCAGAGUACAUUAGUACUUUCUCGUCUCCAGACUCACAGUAUCCCCUGCCCACAUUUUCCCUCACAGAAUGGAGACAGAUACACAUGUUGUAAGGCUAUGCAGUCUGCAAAUGAGCCUGGAGAAUCCAGCUUCCUGGGGCAAAGACAGGAUGGCUUUGUGGCUCACAAACUUCCCAAAGAGGUGCCUGUAUUGAGCACUGAUCUUCAGCAGUGGUGCCCUUUCAGAAGGUGGUGGACACUCAGGAGGUAGAACCUGGAUGAAUUCAGAAGUGGGUUUCUUGAAAUAGAACUUUAAAGAUGGAAAAGAAUAGCAGAGACACGGAUGGACAAUGUAAGGACACUGGGGAACUAUGAAAGGGAUGGACAGCAUUCUCACGUGGCAACAGUGGUCUGAAGCUUGGUGGCUCAGUUUACUUUUAGGUCAAGCUGAAUCUCUACAUCACUAAGAGAUUCCUUGAUGGAAGUGAGAGAUGGCCAAGUGGGAAGAAAGUGGAACCAAUGGGAAAGCCUUCACUACAUAGCAUCAUUGGCUUUGGAAUUAACAGCUUCAGAUGCCAAACAUGGAUGAAAUGCUGACUUUGAGCAACUGUUUGGAUCAGCAGGUGUGACAAAACUCCUGAAAAAGCAGCUUCAUAAAGAAAGGUUUUCUUUUGGCUUUUAGUUUCUUCGUUUCGGAGAAUGUAUGGCAGAAUGGCUCAGGCUGUGGAUGGAAGAAAAGCCAGCAGACAUCCAUAUCCGCAUUCUACACCUCCUGGCCUGUGAUGAUAUGAGCUUCUCUGCUCUGCCAUGCACUGCCUGCCAUGAUGGACUGAGCCCUCUGAGGUCAUGAAAAAAGGAUGGACUGAGCCCUCUGAGGUCAUGAAAGAAUUUUCCCUACCAGGACACAAGGCUGACACCUUCUACUGAGGACUAUGGAAUUAGUCAGGAACCAACACAGCCUGGAGGAGCAAUGCCUAUAGGAUCACACUAUCCAUGAGCAAAGAAAGAUUGCAAGAACUUCAAAAAGAACCCAGAACAAGACAGAGAACACACUGUUCCAAGCCAUGGAGUAGUAGAGAAAGGUUUCCCAGUAUGUGCUCUACAGACUGGCAGCAUCCACACCUCUUUUUUUUUGGUGGUAGAGCAUAAAUACUCUCUACUACCACAAAUUAUGCAGCCGACUUUCCUGCAUUUGGAGAAAUCAUGGGUUAGCAUCCCUGGAGUGCAAUGGAUGAGCCUCACCUUAGGAAAAUCACCCUCAUGAUCAUGAGAUCUCCCCUGCCAGGAGGAUCAUCAGCAUGGUGUAAAGCUAACCAUGGUCCUGGGAGUCAGACUGCCUGGGCUCAACAUGACUUUGUGUUUCCAGCGGAUUCAUUCACCUUAGUUCUAACCUGGCACCGAAGUCCUUGGAAACUCCUGGAGAAUCAUUGGUCUUCUUCUGUGCAUUCUGGAAAGCCAAAGGAGAUGGUAUCUGAUGUCAGCAGAGAACGACAGUGACAGCAACAGAGAAAGAUGCUCAGGAAGAAGGCGGCAGGCAUGCAGGCAGUGCUGAUUAUGUGGGAGCCACAGGUGUAUGUGAUGUGACCUGCUGCUUCAAACUCCUGCUACUAUGGCUUCCCUGCUGUGAUGGUUUGCAACUUAAACUGGUGAAAUAUUGUAACUUUCUAAUACAUGCAGUAAAUGGAUUCCAGCAAAAUUGAAGGAACAAAUGAAAUGCAAACAGUCUUGGCUCAUUGGUAAGUCUGUUUCUAGAAUAUAUUCACCUUCUCAGUUCACUCCAUCCACAUCACUCAGCAGUCAUAGGGUAGUUAGCUCUAUACAAGUCCUUCUGUAAAAAUAGUUAUGGAUGCAGAAAAAAAAUGGAAAAAAACAUUAAGUCUUCCCUUGGGCAGUUCUUCUCCGGGGAGCCAUAUAUUGGAUGACUAGCCAAAGGAUGUCUGUUAUGUCAGGGAUUGCAGUUAUAAUAGGCUGCCUUCACCUGAGUCCUCCAGGCACUUAGAUGGGGCCAACUGUGUGGCUGUUUCUUACAUCAUGCUUGGCUGUCACUGCAGGUGCUCAGCCUCAAAAUGGGAGUCCAGCUCCCUAGCGCUGCUUACUGCCACCUCUCUUCUAUAGUACUGGCUGUUCUUUAGUUCCUGUUUAUUUGUUUAUUUUCAGGGAGGGUGAUCAAGCUUAUAGCUCUUGUGCGUGCGAGGCAAAGAUCUUACCACUAAGCUAUACUCCUAUCCCUUGCAGUCAAUACACAGUUUCAGCCAUACACACUUCUGUUUAAACCCUUGAGGAUGGCUUAUGUGUGUUAGUUUCUUAGGGGAUAAGACAAUAAAUUAUAGUAUGCCCUUUGUAACGACAGAUUGUAUGCCUACAGAUUGAACUAUUGUGGCUUAGAAAUAUUUUACAACUAAUAUUAGAAAUUUUCUUUUAUUGAUUGAUUGAUUGUGUGUGUGCAAAUGUGCAGGUGCCAGGCUGCAUGUGUGGAGAUCAGAGGACAACCUGUAGAAGCCAGUUCUCCCUUUCUACCAUGUAGUUUCCAGGGAAGUGAACUCAGGUCAUCAGACUUGGUUGUAAAUGCCUGUGUGCAAACAAAACCAUUUUGUUGGCUCAAAUUGUGCAAAGUUUCAAAAGUCAGAACUUAAAUUUGCUGUCUAUAGAGCAUUCUGGUGAAAGACAGAAAAUUCAUCUUGUCUACCAUGUUUGCAUUUAUACUGGGUAUAGACAGAUUUAUUUUUUAUUAUAACCCCCAAAAGAUACGAAUUAUUUAUAUAUUUUACUCAUUGUAUUGAGUUUUAUGAAGAAUUUAGAGGUGACUUAAAGUUCACAGGAGGAUGUGGAUGUGUCAUAUGAAAAUGCCAUUUGGUAUAAAGACCAUACCAUUUUGUACUAAGGAUUGAGCACUUUUAGAUUCUGGAAUCUACAGGGGUCCUGGAACCAGUGUCUCACAGAUGGCAAGGGACAGCCCUCACACAAACUAGGUAUCUUAAAACAACAGCAAUUUUUUUUUUGAGGUGUCCUGUGUGAGUCUCAAAUCAAGGAAUCUUCAUGGCCAUGUUCCUAUACAGAGCCUUCUCUGUCUCUCCCAGUUUCUAGUGGUUGUGCAAACACUUGACAUUCUGUGAUGUGUAGCUGCAUCACCCUUAUCUCUGCUUCUAUUGUUCCAUAGCACGCCUCCCUGUGAAAAUCUGUUGUGUACUCUCUCUUUUUAAGAACACAAGCCAUUAGAUUAGAACCCAUUAUAUUGCAAUAGGCCUUCAUCUCAGUUUAAUGAUAGAUACUCUUAAAAGACCUCCCACCAUCACACUGCCUAGUGUGGUGGCACACUUUUUUAAUCCCAGCACUCCAGAGAUAGGCGGAUCUCUGUGAGUUCGAGGCCAGCCUGGCCUACAAAGCAAAUUCCAGGACAGGCCUGUUACACAGAGAAAUGGUCUUUCACCCUCUCACCAGAGAAAGAGAGAGGAAGAGAGAGAGAGAGGGGGGG
Molecule: long non-coding RNA, 5229 nt
Filed under: Cricetulus griseus (Chinese hamster)
Lineage: Eukaryota; Metazoa; Chordata; Mammalia; Rodentia; Cricetidae
Description: lncRNA (ENSCGRG00015035420.1)
Source: RNAcentral